RNAcentral lists this ribosomal RNA (164 nucleotides) under Lilium gongshanense. Its description in RNAcentral is "5.8S ribosomal RNA". It matches the Rfam family "5.8S ribosomal RNA". Rfam says of the family: 5.8S ribosomal RNA (5.8S rRNA) is a component of the large subunit of the eukaryotic ribosome. Lineage: Eukaryota; Viridiplantae; Streptophyta; Magnoliopsida; Liliales; Liliaceae. The record is from RNAcentral.
UAUAUGACUCUCGGCAACGGAUAUCUCGGCUCUCGCAUCGAUGAAGAACGUAGCGAAAUGCGAUACUUGGUGUGAAUUGCAGAAUCCCGUGAACCAUCGAGUCUUUGAACACAAGUUGCGCCCGAGGCCUUUCGGUUGAGGGCACGCCUGCCUGGGCGUCACGC